Molecule: non-coding RNA, 68 nt
Organism: Mycobacterium sp.
Lineage: Bacteria; Bacillati; Actinomycetota; Actinomycetes; Mycobacteriales; Mycobacteriaceae
Source: Rfam
UUGGCGGUGGGGUCGACCUCGCGCGUCACCACCAGGUACUCCCGCAACGCGAUGGCGUGCAGCUGUUC